UUGGUUAAGUUAGAAAGGGCGCACGGUGGAUGCCUUGGCACUAGGAGCCGAAGAAGGACGGGACUAACACCGAUAUGCUUUGGGGAGCUGUACGUAAGCGUUGAUCCAGAGAUUUCCGAAUGGGGGAACCCACUAUCUUUAGUCGGAUAGUAUCCUUACGUGAAUACAUAGCGUGAGGAAGGCAGACCCAGGGAACUGAAACAUCUAAGUACCUGGAGGAAGAGAAAGAAAAAUCGAUUUCCUGAGUAGCGGCGAGCGAAACGGAAAGAGCCCAAACCAAGAAGCUUGCUUCUUGGGGUUGUAGGACACUCUAUACGGAGUUACAAAAGAAAGUUAUAAAUGAAGCGGUCUGGAAAGGCCCGCCAAAGACGGUAACAGCCCGGUAGUUGAAAUGGCUUUCCCUCCAGAGUGGAUCCUGAGUACGGCGGAACACGUGAAAUUCCGUCGGAAUCCGGGAGGACCAUCUCCCAAGGCUAAAUACUCCCUAGUGACCGAUAGUGAACCAGUACCGUGAGGGAAAGGUGAAAAGCACCCCGGAAGGGGAGUGAAACAGUUCCUGAAACCGUGUGCCUACAAGUAGUUAGAGCCCGUUAAUGGGUGAUAGCGUGCCUUUUGUAGAAUGAACCGGCGAGUUACGAUUUGUUGCAAGGUUAAGCGGAAAAAGCGGAGCCGUAGCGAAAGCGAGUCUGAAUAGGGCGCAUAAGUAACAGGUCGUAGACCCGAAACCAGGUGAUCUACCCAUGUCCAGGAUGAAGGUAAGGUAAUACUUACUGGAGGUCCGAACCCACGCACGUUGAAAAGUGCGGGGAUGAGGUGUGGGUAGCGGAGAAAUUCCAAUCGAACUUGGAGAUAGCUGGUUCUCUCCGAAAUAGCUUUAGGGCUAGCCUCGAGGUAAAGAGUCAUGGAGGUAGAGCACUGUUUGGACUAGGGGCCCUUCUCGGGUUACCGAAUUCAGAUAAACUCCGAAUGCCAUGUACUUAUACUCGGGAGUCAGACUGCGAGUGAUAAGAUCCGUAGUCGAAAGGGAAACAGCCCAGACCACCAGUUAAGGUCCCCAAAUAUAUGUUAAGUGGAAAAGGAUGUGGGGUUGCUUAGACAACCAGGAUGUUGGCUUAGAAGCAGCCACCAUUGAAAGAGUGCGUAAUAGCUCACUGGUCGAGUGACCCCGCGCCGAAAAUGUACCGGGGCUAAACAUAUUACCGAAACUGUGGAUGAACCUCUUUAGAGGUUCGUGGUAGGAGAGCGUUCUAAGGGCGGUGAAGUCAGACCGGAAGGACUGGUGGAGCGCUUAGAAGUGAGAAUGCCGGUAUGAGUAGCGAAAGAAGGGUGAGAAUCCCUUCCACCGAAUAUCUAAGGUUUCCUGAGGAAGGCUCGUCCGCUCAGGGUUAGUCGGGACCUAAGCCGAGGCCGAUAGGCGUAGGCGAUGGACAACAGGUAGAGAUUCCUGUACCAGUGCUAAUUGUUUAACCGAUGGGGUGACACAGAAGGAUAGGGAAUCGCACGAAUGGAAAUGUGCGUCCAAGCAGUGAGUGUGAGAAGUAGGCAAAUCCGCUUCUCGCGAAGCAUGAGCUGUGAUGGGGAAGGAAAUUAAGUACGGAAGUUCCUGAUUUCACGCUGUCAAGAAAAGCCUCUAGGAAGAGUAGUACUGCCCGUACCGCAAACCGACACAGGUAGAUGAGGAGAGAAUCCUAAGGUGAGCGAGAGAACUCUCGUUAAGGAACUCGGCAAAAUGACCCCGUAACUUCGGGAGAAGGGGUGCUCUAUUAGGGUGCAAGCCCGAGAGAGCCGCAGUGAAUAGGCCCAGGCGACUGUUUAGCAAAAACACAGGUCUCUGCAA
RNAcentral lists this ribosomal RNA (1837 nucleotides) under Listeria monocytogenes. RNAcentral describes it as "partial 23S ribosomal RNA". It matches the Rfam family "Bacterial large subunit ribosomal RNA", at positions 1 to 1828 of the family's 2925-position model. Lineage: Bacteria; Bacillati; Bacillota; Bacilli; Caryophanales; Listeriaceae. The record is from RNAcentral.